AAUAUGAAGCACAUUGCUAUUAGUUUCGACCUAAUGAUUGAUAUUAAAUUAUCCUUAUUUAU
This 62-nucleotide transfer RNA is filed under the name Cassidinae sp. ACP-2018. RNAcentral's name for it is "tRNA-Arg". The record is from RNAcentral. Lineage: Eukaryota; Metazoa; Arthropoda; Insecta; Coleoptera; Chrysomelidae.